RNAcentral lists this unclassified non-coding RNA (265 nucleotides) under uncultured fungus. RNAcentral's name for it is "sequence contains ITS1". The record is from RNAcentral. Lineage: Eukaryota; Fungi.
UUAACUAUUAUAUAGUACUCAGACAUCACUAAAAACAAGAGUUGUGGUCCUCUGGCAGGUACUCAACAGCCGAAGCCGCUGGCGCGAGGCGCCCUGCCAAAGCAACAAAGGUAAUUUAUUCAAGGGUGGAGGUCUGGACCAGGCUUCUCCGAGAGGCCUGACGACUCUAAACCCUACCGAAGUCGGGUGGCCCCCAGGAUUUCUCCCGGGGCGCUGUCUAUCCAUUGCUCUAUUAAUGAUCCUUCCGCAGGUUCACCUACGGAAA